AUACGGAGGGUGCAAGCGUUGUUCGGAAUUACUGGGCGUAAAGCGCGCGUAGGUGGUCUGUUAUGUCAGAUGAGAAAGUCCACGGCUCAACCGUGGAAGUGCAUUUGAAACUGGCAGACUUGAGUACUGGAGGGGGUAGUGGAAUUCCCGGUGUAGAGGUGAAAUUCGUAGAUAUCGGGAGGAAUACCGGUGGCGAAGGCGACUACCUGGCCAGAUACUGACACUGAGGUGCGAAAGCGUGGGGAGCGAACAGGAUUAGAAACCCUAGUAGUCC
RNAcentral lists this ribosomal RNA (274 nucleotides) under uncultured bacterium. RNAcentral's name for it is "partial 16S ribosomal RNA". It matches the Rfam family "Bacterial small subunit ribosomal RNA", at positions 523 to 796 of the family's 1533-position model. The record is from RNAcentral.